UACGAAGGGUGCAAGCGUUACUCGGAAUUACUGGGCGUAAAGCGUGCGUAGGUGGUUUGUUAAGUCUGUUGUGAAAGCCCCGGGCUCAACCUGGGAAUGGCAAUGGAUACUGGCAGGCUAGAGUGCGGUAGAGGGUAGUGGAAUUCCCGGUGUAGCGGUGAAAUGCGUAGAGAUCCGGAAGAACACCAGUGGCGAAGGCGGCUCACUGGCCCGAUACUGACGCUGAGGCGCGAAAGCGUGGGGAGCAAACAGG
Molecule: ribosomal RNA, 253 nt
Filed under: uncultured bacterium
Lineage: Bacteria
Description: partial 16S ribosomal RNA
Rfam family: Bacterial small subunit ribosomal RNA
Source: RNAcentral